RNAcentral lists this ribosomal RNA (459 nucleotides) under Aricidea mirifica. Its description in RNAcentral is "partial large subunit ribosomal RNA". It matches the Rfam family "Archaeal large subunit ribosomal RNA", at positions 2005 to 2674 of the family's 2987-position model. The record is from RNAcentral. Lineage: Eukaryota; Metazoa; Annelida; Polychaeta; Paraonidae.
CGGCCGCGGUACCCUGACCGUGCUAAGGUAGCAUAAUCCCUUGCCUCUUAAUUAGUGGCUAGUAUGAAUGGAUAGACGAGAAUUAAGCUGUCUCUACAAGUUAUCUAAAAAUUACCCUUCAAGUGAAGAGUCUUGAAUCCCUAUAAAAGACAAGAAGACCCUGUAGAGCCUAAAUUAUUGUUAAAUCCCAAAAUAAAAUUAAAAUACUCCUUUAACAUUAUUUUAGUUGGGGCGACUAAGGAACACCAAUAGCUUCCUUUACCAAAUAGGCUUAUCCGCCAUAUUAACGAUCCAUUAUAUAUGAUCAAAAAACCAGGCUACCUCAGGGAUAACAGUCUAAUCUUCCUCGAGAGCUCAUAUUGACAGGAAGGAUUGGCACCUCGAUGUUGGCUUAGGGGCACUCUCAGGCGCAGCCGCCUGAGCAGUAGGUUUGUUCAACCUUUAAAACCCUACGUGAUC